This is a long non-coding RNA of Salvelinus fontinalis (brook trout), 5508 nucleotides long. RefSeq lists it as uncharacterized. The record is from RefSeq and is a predicted model, not a curated record. NCBI's taxonomy places the organism in Eukaryota, Metazoa, Chordata, Actinopteri, Salmoniformes, Salmonidae. The transcript is spliced from 5 exons.
ACAACUAAUACCAUUCAUAGGAAGAUAGGAGUGCCACUGUGCUUAGUAGAGAGACCACAUAGGGUAACCAUGAGUGUCCACCAAAGUCUGCUAAAUAGUUAGAUACUGUUAUACUUGCAACAGUGUUGUGAUCCAGAAUGUUAUUUUGUCUUACAAACAAUUUUACACCAUUUAAGUUGCACACAUGGAACUUGCUAUGGUGUCAGUCUCGAAGGACAAGGUACAGGCGUUUGGCUGAAGAUCUUGGAAGAGACUAUUGCGCACUUUGCGUGAAACAACCAGCUCUUGAAAAUGGGUGCGGGAUGUGCACACAUUGUCUAUUCUGAAAUGGUUAAAACAAUUCGCAUGCAGCGGCCAGUCUCAAACGACGACUUCUGACUGAUGCAUAAAGGUGUGGGAGCUGCACAUAUCGGCCAACUGCACAUGAAACAAGGGAAUCCGACAAGUCGUGAAGUUAUGCAGAUAACACCGCAUCCGAGAAAGAAUUUGUUACCCAUCACCCCUGACUCAACCCAAUACGGCUUUGAAAAAGCACAGCCUGUGAGGCAGUUUGGGCACUUCCCUUUGGACAACAGCCCUGAGACCAAUAUAAAUCUGACAAUAACUGACUAAUUAACACAAUAGACAACAAUACAGUUUCUUCCGGAGUUUUACUGACUUUGUGAGUACUAAAUCCAACCAACAUCUCCUCUGCAGUAGCAUAGAGCCAGCAAGCUCCCUUCCUUUCCCAGCUAUGGCUCCCCCUAGCCGUGCUUCCAUAUUUCCUUGUUUAUGCACAGCAUAAUGGCCUGACCCUCCCUUCUCUAUAACAUUAUACAGACACCACCUAGCACCUGAAAACCUCAAUUUUUCUGGAUAUAUUUUGAGAUUAGAGUCUCAAUAUACCCCAUAUUCAUCCAAUGGCACCCUAACCAUAGUGGAACAUAGCUUUUCUUACCUUUACAAAGGGCCUCUCUCUAUACCUCUCUCUCUCCAAAGUCCCAACCUCGAUAGCCUCCUUCUUCUUCCCAGAAAUCCCUGCAAAAGGGGCACUUCCAUGUAAGUUGAAUGUGUAGGGGUGCUCAUUUUGGACUCAACCAUUACUGUAAAAUACAGAAGUCCCCAGAUGCUCAGUAAGGGCCUAUUUGGGUACAUAGUCCCACAGGCACCAACAUGUCCCUUUCAAACGGUAUGCCACUGGCCCUAUAGCAAAUAACCCUCCCCUAACUCCCUCUGUCCUCCCCCCCAAUGGCUUUCACAUCAUAUGGCCCAUCCACCAGUCAUACAGCCAGUACUGAGAAGCAAUUGUCACUUGCUGCACAAAUGAGCUCUCAGAGAGUUUACACUGGGUUUUUGUGGAUACACCAUGCCUUGGGGCCUCUUAGAGUGGCCCAAAAUCAUUGCUAGGGGGUAUUUUGGACACACAGAGACCCCGUUUUAUUGAAACAGACCAUUUGAAUGCAGAGGAAAAUAUUAUGGUGUGAAUAUGAUGCAAUCAAGCAAAAAGAGAGCAUUGUCUCCAAGUGUCCCUCUCCAAAAGUGCAGAGAUGUAUCCACUGGGACAAGGAGCUUUCCACUCACACAAUGAGAAGGUAAUUAAGCUCCUGAAGUUUAAAAUGUAAUUUUUAUGAAUGUUUUUCUUCAUAUAUUACUAAACAAAUCAUCAUUUUAAGGGGUGGCGGAUGACAAAUGCCAAUUUUGGCGUCCGUGCUUUGAAGCCCAACAGGUAAGCUCACUAAUUGACAGGACACAUUGCAGUGCAUAAGGUAAGGACUUCAAUCUUGUUCAAAACUAUAUGUAUAUAUUUAAAUAAAAUAUUUAUUUAAAAUAUUUUAAGAUGUCAUAUAUCAAUGGUGUAUCGUCUCAAACUGAAUAUUUACCAUAUAGUCUACAAUGUACACCUACCACUUUAUUAUAAUAUUUUAUUCAGCACUAGCCUAUACUAGCCUACCGUUGAGAGCAUGGUCCUGAAACAAGAUAACAUGAUGUUUUUAAAAUAAACUUAUCAUAAAAUGAACAAAACAUAGCGUAGCAGUUUAAGACUGGACUGAACCAAAUUUGAUAUAGCCUACCUGAAUAAGCAGCUAUAUUUCAGGAUCUGACAGUAGGCAUCAUCAAGACAUGACAUGAGUAUGCUUUCAACAUUUCCAAUGUUUUAAAACCAAACACUAAAACCUUGUCUUAUUUCACAGUAUUUCCAAAGUAGAAGUGGUAUGAAAAACAAAUGCCAGUAUUUGGUUUCCUGCGAGUCCAGACUUGAGAUGAUCUUUGUCCUAAAACAAUAAGCCCCCAAACCAGUCAUCAACUGCCCAAAGCAAAAGCAGAUCAAUCCCAACCUUCAGUAUCAAAAUAUAGCGUAAAACGUGGUCUUCAUUUUAAAACCUUGAAUAACAAACGCCUAAACACCUGCCCAGAACGAAUCUCGGCACUACAGCACAGAUAUGCUAUUUAAAAUGAAUCAUGUAUUCGUAAACAAUGUUAAAUUAUAUUUAAUCGAAUAAAAAUGAGACACUAGGUGCAUUCAGAAUAUGGAGACAGGCUUCAGCGCAGGACUGGAGAUGUCAGCUGCUGGCGCGCGCCUGUCGCGUUUGUUCACGAGAACAGCUGCAGCUGUCUGGCUAGAAUAGAGCACAUUUGUGAGCGGAAUAAGCACCAAUAACAGAAAAUAACUGGCCAUUUAUCUUAACAGUAGCCAAUAGCCAUGGUGGUAGUAAGCUUCAUAUUUUAGUUGUCUGACGGCGGUUUGAAUGCGUAAAUAUUUACAUGUAGGCCUACACAAACAUGGACGUUGCGAAAGAUAGACGCCCUUGUUGAUGGGGGUUUGUUUGCACACAGGUAGACCAUUGCAUGGGCUACAAGGGAAACGCUAACCUAAAUACCGGUGCAUACUAUUCGACAAAUUAGGCCUCUUAUAAGAGCAUAUGAUUUGAGCAUUUUACAUUUUAAACCAUUCCUUCUAGCUACCUAAAGUUGAAGUAUGCAUAAGGGAUUAAUGCAAGGCUAAAUGUCGCCUUUCACUAUAAGUCCUAACACAUAUCAAUAAAAUCAAUCAAUAUCUGCAGUGUAACAGUAUCGCAUUCCCAUAAUGACAUGAGGCAGUGCAGAGCAUGCUAUGUGGCUACGCUAUGUUAUGCGUGCGUAAAACACGCGCCAACGUCACUACGCUUCUACAUUGGAACAGAGCAUAUGGAUGAAAUACAGUAAUGAAUGAAUGCCUUCACUUUUGUUUAAUUAAUGUUCUUUAUAAUGUUGUAAUUUUUGAAUAUCUGUACUAUUUAUCAGGGGGGUCAUGUACUCCAAAAAUAUGAGGGGCACAAAGUAUGUGAGGAUGGCUUGGGGGUGGUCAGGAGGGGAACUUGGGUCCUGUUCAUUAGUUGGAGAAUUUGGAAUUUUUCAAACACAUUACACAUAUUUGUCUUGCCAUCUAAAGCCAUAAUCAUUAUGCUUAAUUCUAUGUUAAACACUUUUGUUUUUCUGCAUAUCUAAGCAUACCUUUUGAGCUGUCUGUAUCCUCCUGAUUAGUGGUUAUUCUUUAAAGAAACUAAAUAUGCUUCUCUGCAUCUCUGCUAAAAUAUGGGUAAAAUAUUGAAAGGAAUGUGAGUCUUAUUCAGUACAUUUAGUUAUUGCUUGCUUUUCUAAAGUCUACCGAUCUUGCCAGCAGGCAUGUCAGCGAAGAUGAUAGUUAGACAAGCUAGCUACUCUAACUUGAUUGAUUGCCUCAACCUAUCUGGGAUAGCUAAAGCCAACAUAAAAUUGCUAGGUUGCUAGUAGUAUUGAAUUGUUUUAUUAAAUUCAGAUUGUGUGUCACUGAUCUACACAGAAUACCCCAUAAUAUCAAAGUGGAAUUGUGUUUUUAGAAAUGUUAACGAAUUAAUAAAAAAUUAAAAGCUGUCUUGAGUCAAUAAGUAUGCAAUCUUUUUGUUAUGGCAAGCCUAAAUAAGUUGAGAAGUAAAAAUGUGCUUAAUUAACAAGUCACAUAAUAAGUUGCCUGGACUCGCUCUGUAUACAAUAAUACUGUUUAACAUGACUACUCCAUCUCUGUACCUCACACAUACAAUUUUCUGUAAGGUCCCUAAGUCGAGCAGUGAAUUUCAAGCACAGAUUCAACUACAAAGACCAGGUAGGAUUUUCUGUGUUUUGCAAAGAAGGGCACAUAUUGGUAGAAGGGUAAAAAAAACUGACAUUGAGCAUUGUGCAGUUAUUAAUUGUACACAUUAGAUGAUGUAUCAAUACACCCAGUCACUACAAAGAUACAGGCAUCCUUCCUAAAUCAGUUGCCGGAGAGGAAGGAAACCACUCUUGGAUUUCACCAUGAGGCCAAUGGUGACUUUAAAACAAUAACAGAGUUUAAUGGCUGUGAUAGGAGAUAACUGAGGAUGGAUCAACAACAUCGUUACUCCGCAAUAGUAACAUAAAUUACAGAGUGAAAAGAAGGAAGUCUGUACAGAAUAACAAAUAUUCCAAAACAUGCAUCCUGUUUGCACUAAAGUAGCUGUAUCAUGUUAUUGUUUGGAAAUAACUAGGGAGUUUUUUUAGUAUAAAAAGAAACGGAAUAGAACUAAGCACAGGCAAAAUCCUUGAGGAAAACCUGGUUCAGUCUGCUUUCCAACAGACACUGGGAGACAAAUUUAAAUUUCUACAGGGCAAUAAUCUAAAACACAAGGCCAAUUAUGCACUGGAGUUGCUUACCAAGACAUCAUUGAAUGUUCCUGAGUGGCUUAGUUACAGUUUUGACUUAAAUCAUCACCUUGAAAAUCUAUGGCAAGACUUGAACAUCGCAGUCUAGCAGUGAUCAAUAACCAACUUGACAGAGCUUGACACAUUUUUUAAAGAAUAUUGAGCAAAUAUUGCACAAUCCAGGUGUGCAAAUCUCUUAGAGGCUUUCCCAGAAAGACUCCCAGCUGUAAUCACUGCCAAAGGGGAUUCUAACAUGUAUUGACUCAGGGAGUUUAAUACUUAUCUAAUCAAGAUAUAAUAGUGUUUUAUUUUCCAUUAAUACAAAAUAUAUAUACUUUUUCUUCCACUGACAUAACAUGGUAUUUUGUGUAUAUCAUUAACCAAAAAAUGACAAUGAAAUCAAUUUGAAUCCCACUUUGUAACAAAACAAAAUGUGGAAAAAGUUGAGUGUGAAUACCAUCUGAAGGCACUGUAUAUACUGUAUAUAAUGUAAAUAUCUUUAAACAGGACAAAUCUGAGGGGGGCAUGUGCCCCUGUGACCCCUUUGGGCAUGACACCUCUGCUAUUUAUGUUUGUGUUAUUGUUAUAAUAAACAAUGGGAAAAUAAAUACAUCAGAGCAAUAUUUCAGGGUAAGGUUCUUCUGUCCAUGAUAUGCCAUAAAUGUUGAUGUUUCUAUGUUCAUUUAUAUGUUUUCUAUAAACACUAGGGCUAGGCAAUGGAAGAUGGAGCCUAUAUGCAAUAGAUUAUUACAAAUGACAUAGACUGGCUAUACUGUAUGCUGCUUUAGUGACGAUAUUCAAUGCAACAUUGUACAGAGAGUUGUUUUGUCAAUAAAAUGUAAUAUUUCAAGA